This 484-nucleotide ribosomal RNA is filed under the name uncultured bacterium. Its description in RNAcentral is "partial 16S ribosomal RNA". It matches the Rfam family "Bacterial small subunit ribosomal RNA", at positions 30 to 507 of the family's 1533-position model. The record is from RNAcentral.
AUUGAACGCUGGCGGCAGGCCUAACACAUGCAAGUCGAGCGGAUGAAGGGAGCUUGCUCCUGGAUUCAGCGGCGGACGGGUGAGUAAUGCCUAGGAAUCUGCCUGGUAGUGGGGGAUAACGUCCGGAAACGGGCGCUAAUACCGCAUACGUCCUGAGGGAGAAAGUGGGGGAUCUUCGGACCUCACGCUAUCAGAUGAGCCUAGGUCGGAUUAGCUAGUUGGUGGGGUAAAGGCCUACCACGGCGACGAUCCGUAACUGGUCUGAGAGGAUGAUCAGUCAGACUGUAACUGAGACACGUCACACACUCUUAGAGGGAGACGCAGUGGGGACUCUUGGGCGAUGGGCGAGAGCCUGAUACAGGCAUGCGGGGUCUGUGAAGAAGGUCUUCGGAUGGUAGAGCAAUGUAAGUUGGGGGGAAGGACAGUUAGUUAAUACCUUGCUAUUUUGACGUUACCAGCAGAAGAAGCCCCGGCUAACUUCGUG